CAGCAGCAGCAGCCGCAAUGUCGCUGAUGACUGGAUUGCCAUAUCUGUUGAGGUGGUAUGUAGUACGCUGGUGGAAGAUCGACGAGAAGCGAUUAAUGCUUGGAGCAAGGAACUUCGAGGGGCAUUUUCCAUGAUUUCGGCGUAAUAAACUAUUGUUACUGCUUUGACGGAGUCUAGACUCUAGAGUUUUCAUACAGCUAUUUUUUUU
Panicum virgatum (switchgrass) is the source of this 208-nucleotide long non-coding RNA. RefSeq lists it as uncharacterized. Lineage: Eukaryota; Viridiplantae; Streptophyta; Magnoliopsida; Poales; Poaceae. The transcript is spliced from 2 exons. The record is from RefSeq and is a predicted model, not a curated record.